This 434-nucleotide ribosomal RNA is filed under the name uncultured Lachnospiraceae bacterium. RNAcentral's name for it is "partial 16S ribosomal RNA". It matches the Rfam family "Bacterial small subunit ribosomal RNA", at positions 341 to 792 of the family's 1533-position model. The record is from RNAcentral. Lineage: Bacteria; Bacillati; Bacillota; Clostridia; Lachnospirales; Lachnospiraceae.
ACGGGAGGCAGCAGUGGGGAAUAUUGCACAAUGGGGGAAACCCUGAUGCGGCGACGCCGCGUGAGUGAAGAAGUAUUUCGGUAUGUAAAGCUCUAUCAGCAGGGAAGAAAAUGACGGUACCUGACUAAGAAGCCCCGGCUAACUACGUGCCAGCAGCCGCGGUAAUACGUAGGGGGCAAGCGUUAUCCGGAUUUACUGGGGGUAAAGGGAGCGUAGACGGCGAUGCAAGUCUGAUGUGAAAGCCCGGGGCUCAACCCCGGCACUGCAUUGGAAACUGUGUUGCUAGAGUGCAGGAGAGGUAAGUGGAAUUCCUAGUGUAGCGGUGAAAUGCGCAGAUAUUAGGAGGAACACCAGUGGCGAAGGCGGCUGACUGGACUGUAACUGACGUUGAGGCUCGAAAGCGUGGGGAGCAAACAGGAUUAGAUACCCUGGUA